GGGCCGCUAGCUCAUCUGGUAGAGCGUACGCAUGGCAUGCGUAAGGUGACCGGUUCAAGUCCGGUGCGGUCCA
Molecule: transfer RNA, 73 nt
Filed under: Candidatus Blackburnbacteria bacterium
Lineage: Bacteria; Candidatus Blackburniibacteriota
Description: tRNA-Ala
Rfam family: tRNA
About the family: Transfer RNA (tRNA) molecules are approximately 80 nucleotides in length. Their secondary structure includes four short double-helical elements and three loops (D, anti-codon, and T loops).
Source: RNAcentral